This 72-nucleotide antisense RNA is filed under the name Actinoplanes teichomyceticus. RNAcentral describes it as "ASpks TB sRNA". It matches the Rfam family "ASpks TB sRNA". Lineage: Bacteria; Bacillati; Actinomycetota; Actinomycetes; Micromonosporales; Micromonosporaceae. The record is from Rfam by way of RNAcentral.
CUUCACCGAGCCGAGCCACAGCGGCUCGCCCGCGCGUCCCUUCCCGUACGUGGCGAGCAGCGCCUCCGCCUC